This is an RNA transcript of Trifolium pratense (red clover), 3225 nucleotides long. It is a transcript of the gene named conserved oligomeric Golgi complex subunit 5, with no coding region annotated. The transcript has 5 exons. NCBI's taxonomy places the organism in Eukaryota, Viridiplantae, Streptophyta, Magnoliopsida, Fabales, Fabaceae. The record is from RefSeq and is a predicted model, not a curated record.
UAGAUUAUGAAAGAUAGAAAAAGAAAGAGAGAAACAAAGUUAGUUAGAACAGAGAAGUGAAUAGAUCGCUUCACUCACACAGAAAAAAAAAAAACCCGAACCGACAAUGGCCUCACCAGCGGCGGCGAGGUCGCCGGCAACAUCCGCCGCUACUCCACUUCAACGUCUCUCCACCUUCAAACACCCAACCACAACCACCACCGCUUCCUCCGCACUCGAUUCCCUAGCUUCCGAUCCCAUCUUCUCCGCAUUUCUCUCCCCAUCAUUCUCCUCAACAACUUUCUCCGCCGCCGCACUUUCCUCCGGUUCCCCUGCCUCCACCGCCGAAAAACUCCACCACGCAAUCGGCCUCCUCGAGAAUCAGCUCCGUUCCGAAGUCCUCUCUCGUCACGAUGAACUCCUCUCGCAACUCUCAUCUCUCCACCACGCCGAUCACGCUCUCUCAACACUCCGAUCUGCUCUCUCUUCCCUCCAAUCCUCCCUCCGCCGUCUCCGAUCCGAACUCUCCGAUCCACAUCGUUCAAUUGCAUCCAAAACCGCACAGCUUUCCAACCUCCAUCGUACCACUGAGCUUCUCCAACACUCCGUUCGGGCACUUCGUCUUUCGAAGAAGCUUCGAGAUCUAAUGGCUGCUGAACCUGAAAAACUCGAUCUUGCUAAGGCUGCACAGCUUCACUCUGAGAUUAUCAGCCUAUGCAAUGAAUAUGAUCUAACCGGAAUCGAUGUUGUCGAUGAAGAGCUUCGUUGGGUUAGGGAAAGUGGAGAUCGGUUAAGGAAUGAAGCAAUGAAGGUUCUGGAAAGUGGAAUGGAAGGGUUGAAUCAAGCAGAAGUUGGUACUGGAUUGCAGGUUUUCUAUAAUCUUGGUGAAUUGAAGGUUACUGUGGAGCAAGUGAUUAAUAAGUAUAAGGGCAUGGGUGCGAAGAGUGUGAGUGUAGCGUUGGAUAUGAAGGCGAUUACUGGAUCGAGUGGAAGUGGGUUUGGACCGGGUGGAAUUAGGGGUACUGGAACUCCUCAGAUUGGAGGAGGAGCUAAGGCUAGAGAAGCUUUAUGGCAGAGAUUGGGGAAUUGUAUGGAUCAAUUGCAUUCUAUUACUGUGGCUGUGUGGCAUUUGCAGAGAGUGCUUUCGAAAAAACGCGAUCCAUUUACGCAUGUUUUGUUGCUUGAUGAAGUCAUUCAGGAAGGUGAUCCUAUGCUUACGGAUCGAGUCUGGGAGGCCAUCGCAAAAGCUUUUGCAAGCCAGAUGAAAUCUGCUUUCACUGCUUCAAGUUUUGUUAAAGAGAUUUUUACUAUGGGAUAUCCAAAGCUUUACUCCAUGCUAGAGAAUCUCCUUGAAAAAAUUUCACGUGACACAGAUGUCAAAGGAGUUUUACCAGCUAUUACUUCUGCUGGCAAAGAGCAGAUAGUUUCAGCUGUCGAAAUAUUCCAGUCUGCAUUUUUGGGUCACUGCCUGGGUCGUCUUUCAGAUCUAGUGAAUAAUGUAUUUCCAAUGUCUAGUCGUGGAAGUGUUCCCUCCAGGGAACAAAUAUCGAGAAUAAUAUCACGUAUUCAGGAAGAGAUAGAAGCUGUUCAGGUGGAUGCACGCCUUACUCUUCUUGUUUUGCGUGAAAUUGGCAAGGUUUUGCUUCUUUUUGCUGAGCGAGCUGAAUACCAGAUAUCUACUGGCCCUGAAUCACGUCAAGUAAGUGGCCCUGCAACACCAGCACAGCUCAAGAACUUUACACUGUGCCAACAUCUACAAGAUGUUCAUUCACGAAUAUCAUCUAUGAUUAAUGGAAUGCCAAGUAUUGCUGCAGAAGUGUUAUCUGCUUCGCUGGGUGCAAUAUAUGGCGUUGCCUGUGACUCAGUAACGCCUUUAUUCCAGUCAAUGCUCGAUCGUCUUGAGUCUUGUAUAUUGCAAAUACACGAUCAUAAUUUUGGAAUGCUUGGAAUGGAUGCUGCUAUGGACAACAACGCAUCACCUUACAUGGAGGAGCUCCAAAAAUGUAUUCUUCACUUCCGCAGUGAGUUUCUAUCUAGGUUGUUGCCUUCCAGAAAAACUGCAACACCGGGAAUUGAAAACAUAUGCACCAGGCUUGUCCAGAGUAUGGCUUCCCGUGUUCUGGUAUUCUUCAUUCGGCAUGCCUCUCUUGUCAGACCACUUUCAGAAUCAGGGAAAUUGAGAAUGGCUAGAGAUAUGGCUGAAUUGGAGUUAGCCGUGGGUCAAAAUUUGUUCCCUGUUGAACAACUUGGUGCCCCAUAUCGAGCACUUAGAGCAUUUCGUCCACUUAUAUUCUUGGAAACAUCCCAGCUUGCAUCAUCUCCCCUUCUUCAAGAUCUACCACCAAAUGUCAUACUUCAUCAUCUGUAUACCCGUGGUCCUGAAGAAUUGCAGUCACCUCUGCAAAGAAACAAACUGACUCCAAUGCAGUAUUCAUUGUGGCUUGAUUCUCAAGGAGAAGAUCAAAUCUGGAAGGGCAUUAAAGCAACACUCGAUGAUUAUGCUGCAAAUGUGAGGAGUAGACGAGAUAAGGAGUUUAGCCCUGUUUAUCCUCUUAUGAUUCAACUGGGUUCGUCGUUGACCGAAAAGACUAAGGCUUCCUCGAACUCUUGAUCCAGUAAAUAAUUUGUUGUCUAGCAAAUUAAAUCACAUCUGUAACUCCCCAGAUUGUUUUUUGAAAGUUGUUAGAAAGGGUUUAGUUGCGGAAACAUGAGGAAGAGGCCUGCUAGUUCUGCUGGUAUGCACGAGUACCCUUCAUGCUAUUCAGCUGUGGUGACUACUGGUGCGGAUAAAUUUCACCACUAUGCUAACCUUCUGAUGACCAUUAAAGACUACCUAUAAAAAGAUUGACAUGUUAGUUUGUGUGAUACUCUUCGGGAAGGGAAUCAUUGUGCUGAUAUUCUAGCUAAAAUUGGAGCUAAUGACCUACAUCAUUUGGUACUGGCAUGCAUACUAUCGAGAUUCUGUUGGGGCAACGAGAGGUGACACUGAAAAGGCAUUUUGUUCAUAAUUGGCAACAAGUGUGGUAUGGGAAGUCUUAGAGCAGUGCAAAAGGAAGAUACUGAGUUGUUCAGAUGGAGAGAACAUCUUCAUUAUGAAAACAUCAUUUCUUCAGAUUUAAUGCAUAUGGAUUUUUCUUUCGGCUUUGUAUUUAACAUGUUUCGUGUACUAUAAAGAUUGAAUUUAUUUGAAUUUCAAAAAAUGAUAUAUUAACUGAAUUGAAUUUUGACCCUUUCAUUUUCAAGCAA